GAGAUGUUGGGUUAAGUCCCGCAACGAGCGUAACCCUUGUUUUUAGUUGCCUUUCGAGGAUAUUUAGAAAGACUGCCGAUUAUAAAUCGGAGGAAGGUAAGGACGACGUCAAGUCAUCAUGCCCCUUACACUCUGGGCUACACACGUGCUACAUUGGGUAGAACAAUAAGUUGCUAAGUUGCGAAACCAAGCGAAUCUUCAAAUCUACUCUAAGUUCGGAUUGUAGGCUGCAACUCGCC
Molecule: ribosomal RNA, 239 nt
Filed under: Ochromonas sp. CCMP1393
Lineage: Eukaryota; Chrysophyceae; Chromulinales; Chromulinaceae
Description: partial Bacterial small subunit ribosomal RNA
Rfam family: Bacterial small subunit ribosomal RNA
Source: RNAcentral